This 76-nucleotide transfer RNA is filed under the name Alkalinema sp. RU_4_3. RNAcentral describes it as "tRNA-Val". It matches the Rfam family "tRNA". Rfam says of the family: Transfer RNA (tRNA) molecules are approximately 80 nucleotides in length. Their secondary structure includes four short double-helical elements and three loops (D, anti-codon, and T loops). Further hydrogen bonds mediate the characteristic L-shaped molecular structure. tRNAs have two regions of fundamental functional importance: the anti-codon, which is responsible for specific mRNA codon recognition, and the 3' end, to which the tRNAs corresponding amino acid is attached (by aminoacyl-tRNA synthetases). tRNAs cope with the degeneracy of the genetic code in two manners: having more than one tRNA (with a specific anti-codon) for a particular amino acid; and 'wobble' base-pairing, i.e. permitting non-standard base-pairing at the 3rd anti-codon position. Lineage: Bacteria; Bacillati; Cyanobacteriota; Cyanophyceae; Leptolyngbyales; Leptolyngbyaceae. The record is from RNAcentral.
CGCCCUGUAGCUCAAUGGUAGCAGCAUCUGUUUUACACACAGAGGGUUGUAGGUUCGAGUCCUACCGGGGUGACCA